Long non-coding RNA from Coturnix japonica (Japanese quail), 1997 nucleotides. NCBI's taxonomy places the organism in Eukaryota, Metazoa, Chordata, Aves, Galliformes, Phasianidae. The record is from Ensembl.
CUGUGGAGGAAGAGUUGUUUCUGUGGGAUAUGUAUCCAAUACCCCAUUCUGCUCAUCUUCCUUGAUAGGGUAAAGGAAGAUUAAAAAAUAUAUCCUACAGCUGGUAGUCUGUCUUCAGGGAAGACUGAUGAAAUCUAGGUCAUCUGACAGAGUCCAGCUGAGGUCAGUAAAUCAUUAUUACUUAAUAGCUAUCUAUUAGCCUAUAGGAAGUAAGUUGGUUGCCUUCAGGCUCCCACUGGGCAAAUGUUUACCCUACAAAACUGCUGGCCUAAUUGGUGCUAAUUGUCAGUGUCAGCAGAAGCAGCAUCUUUCUUUGUAUGUGUCAGGACUGGAGCAUAUGGACAAAGAAGGAUCAAAUGCUCUGCACAUGACAGCAGAUAGCAAGUGAAGAAACCUCAACUCUCAGUCCACUGGCUGUCAGCUUUGCAAUAGGUUGAAAACAUGGAAAUGUUUCCAUAUCCAAAAAUGGUUGCUGUUGGAAAAUUCUCCUUGUGAUGUUUUGAAUGCAGUCAAAGCAGAGCAGGAAUGAACUUGCCACCCGUGUGAAAUUCUGUGAUUUUGCCCUCUUUUCCAGUUUGAAACAGAACAGGAGCCAUGAGCACCUUCCAUCUGAUUCUCCAGGAGGAACCCAGGAACUCACUGAGAAAACAGUGAAAUGCCCUCAUUACAUUUGGGCACCAAAGGUCUUUGCUGUAGGAAUGGCUGCCCCUGUGAGAGUGUGGGCUGAACACUGAAGUGGCUUCAGGCAGCCAAGGCCAGUGUAGAGACUUCCUGGGGAGGCAGAGGGGGUGAUGCAAAAUGGCUUCAAGCUCGAUGUCUCUGAGCCAGGCAGGGCCAAAAUACUAAAAACCAAGCUAUCCAAGAGCUGCUAUGUCUCAGCUGUGCUGUCAUAAUGGAUGUCACAAGAAGGGAUUGGUUUUAGGGAGUCACUGUGUGUUUGCAAAUUGUGUGUUCACAAGCCUGGAGCACAGGUGGUGGCCUGGGAACCUUGUAGGCACAUUCUACUAGGCACACCUGGCACCCUGAAGGCACUCAGAUCUUGACCAGCAGGCAGCAGGAAACAUGAGGACAACUGUAGAUGCUGCAACUCCCCAGCUCAGACCAACACUUGGAUGGUCUUUUUCUGUUUUGGUGUAGAAAGUGGGAGGACUGAAGUUGGCCUCCUUGACUCGAUGCUGGACAUGGGUGGAGUAAAGUUGUUCAAGGCUAGGUUAGAACUGAACACUUCAUAGCAAGAGCUGUGGCCUGGAAAUAGGCCUAACACUGUACACCCUAUAAAAAUGUGUGCGUGUGUGUGUGUAUGUAUAUGUAAGCUUAAUACAAAUACCUGGUACUAGGAAUUAAUUUCCAAAGAAUCAUAAAAAGGUUUCUUUUUAUCUCAUUUGGAGACUUGCUGGUGUGCCACUCUACUAUUUCAAUGUCUGCAGCACUAGUGUAUGCUUUCUUCUUUUUAUAUGAGCACCAAGCAGUUCAAAGAUCGUUUUAAAGCUGCUUCAUUCAGUUAGAGAAGGGAAAGCCCUAAAUCACCUCAGUUGUGUUUUUCCACGUUGAAGAGCAAUAACUAAGAACAACAGGAGCUAAUCCAUUCCAUGUUUUCAUGUCCCUCUAGCGACAUGUUAUAGGAAUGACUUCAAUUGAUGUUUUGUCCUACAGAAAAAGCAGGGUUUCAGAAGGCACAAAACCAUGCAAACACCUAACUCUUAAAAACAAUUUCUGCCAGACUUAAUUAUUUUUUUCUAAGGAAUUCCCAGAAAUUGCCACAAAUUUAUUAGAAGCAGAAAAUCUCUUAUGUGGUUGAACAAGGGAAGAAGUCUCCCAAGAUAAAUGCUUUUAAUUCACAUGUUUAAAACCAAGCAGCUAAAGGGAAGUUCCUCUAGCAUCCCUCUUCAGUACCCACUGCCUUCAGAGCACAGGUAGGCAAAAAUGUACAGCUCAUCAGAACUUCUCUUUUGCCUCCAGCCAAUAAAACACAGACACACAUCUAUAUCUGUAUCGAU